RNA transcript from Ipomoea nil (Japanese morning glory), 1128 nucleotides. RefSeq lists it as uncharacterized. NCBI's taxonomy places the organism in Eukaryota, Viridiplantae, Streptophyta, Magnoliopsida, Solanales, Convolvulaceae. The transcript is spliced from 5 exons. The record is from RefSeq and is a predicted model, not a curated record.
CAUUAUGCACAAAGAGAAAGACAGCAAAAGACUUGUUCUUUGCUGCAAAUACAGUCAUUCUUCCCGGUUUUACGAUACUCGUCAAUUCUCAUGGUUUUGGACAUUUGGGUGGCUGAGUGCGUUUAAGUCUGUUACGCUAUUAUAACUUAUUGAAGAAUUUAUCGUAUAAUUAACAACACAGGAUGGCCCUGGUUGUGUCCAAUGAGAUACUGCCAGACUUGGAGGUGGAGGGGCCCUUCUUAUUAGAUGAAGAACAGCAAAACUGUAAUCUUGCAGCUUCUCACCAGUCUGAAGAGACCAUUUCUCGUUCUAAUCCUUCAUUCUAUAGUGUUAAUAGUAUAUGGCUUGGGAAGCACACAGCGAUGGAAUCUGUGACAUAAUGCUUCCGAAAAUUUGAAACUCACCUCGCUAUUGGUUGAAUCGUUAUGCAAGAAAGGAAUAGGAAGAUCUUUUUGCGAUAAAGUGUUCUGAAAGAUAAGAAGAUAGGCCCAUGAUGAGCAAUUCUCGACAUAUGCUUAGCGGAUUGGACAUGACUGGGUAUCUAGCUGAACAUAACAAGGCAUCUCGGGUUACUGCACCUCGAAAUUCUUUAUAUCAAAUGGCAGGAAAAGACGAAUCCCCAGGGGAUAUGAGGAAUCCAGAAUCCAGGCUGCUUUUCAAGGAAUGUCUGCUCUUCUGCUUCACCCCCCGCAAAAUUACUGGCCCGAGCUUCAGGUAAACCGCGAUUCCAUUGUUCUGAACCAAGAAUUUCUUCAACCUUAGAUAUGGAGACAGCAAGUAUAUAAAAUCUUACGCCACAGGACUGCCAACCUGCAAGCAUCUAUCCCAAACUUUGCAGAUAAAGUAGGAUUUGCUUCUUGCAAAACCUUUGUGCCCAGAUACUGAAUUCGCCUUAUGAGAAUGGUGACGUGAAACUUUCAUGCAUAAAGUUGAAGCAACUUGGCUAAUUACUAUGGCCAAGAUUGCAAGAAUCUUUAGCUUAGAUGGUUGUAUGAACAGGGUUUUCUUAUGUUCUUGGAUUACUAGGCUAUCCUAGGGAAUGGGUUUGUGUUAAUAUGGUUCUUAAUUUGUUCAUUACACAAAGUUAUGAACUUGGGGAAGAAGAUGGAUUUGUCGGAGGAUGCUAAA